UAGAACUCCCAACUAAUCAUCACGAUUCCCAAACACACAGAUUCACAUUCAGAAGGAGUGUGAGAUGGCACUAGACUACUGCCCCAAUGGGUGUGGGGAAAGGUUACCUAGGAGAGAGAUGCUCAAGCAUACUAGAACAGUGUGCACUCACCAAGUAAGAGAAUGCGACUACAAAGACUUAUGGUGCACCUACAAGGGUACCAUCAAGGUAAAGAAGGUUGGCAGACAAACCUGUACUUAAUUUUUAUUUGGAGUCAAUUACAGGACCACCUCAACAAUAAAUGCAACUUCAAUCCGAUAACAUAUGCGUUAGUUCUACUGAUUUCUACUGCCCUAACAUAUACGUACACUUGUUUUGCAUUCUGUUCAUUAUCACAUAGGGGUUGGUUCCUUAAGAGUGUAUUGAGACGUUUGGUCCCACUAGAGCUGUGGGGGUCGAAGUACAACAGGAUAUCACAUUGUAUUCUACCAGUGUGGCUUGAGCAUCAAGGCCACGCCCCUCUCCCUCAUGAUGCUGGACCCUCGUAGCAAGUUGUACCUGAUCAACGUAUUUCACACUACAGGGCAUGUGAACUUCUCCUCUGAGGUGACUGCUGCCUUCAGGCUCUGUGAUGGUCUCGUACUGUUUGUGGAUGCUUCAGAAGGGCUGGGUUGGUCGUCUAUGGAUCUCUGAAGCCAACUAUCAAGUUGAGAUCAGUCGAGUGCCGGCUGGUAACUGGGUGCUCAUAGAGGGAGUGGACCAGACCAUCACCAAGACAGCCACCAUCACACAGAUCAACGACUCAGAGGACGUUCAUUUCAAAAACUAACUGAAAGAAUGGACGUGGACGAAGACCUAGGCCUAGACAAGCUCUUUUCUGAAGAAGUACUCGGUAUAAUAAUGACCGAGCCCAUAGACCCCGCCCUCUAUGACAUAAAUGUGGAGGCAGAGCUGGCUACUCUUUCUACAGAACAAAGAAAGGAGGAGGAGCUGGACGAGCCAACAGAACCUGCACAAUCUUCUCUACCUAACUCAAAGCGAAUGAAGCAAAGUAUCUGCAGGCCUCUUAUCACGGCAGGUGCAGUGUACAGUUUGGAUAGUGAUAUCUGCAUAAGGUGAAUAAUUAGAAUGGAAAUCCCGGGAUUGACCUGUUCAAGGAUGCUUGUUUUGCUGACUUUCGAGUGUGCCUAAACUCCGAAAUGAAGCGCUUGCAGAGAGCUGGACUAGGGUCACAAAAGAAGGCUGAACCUCUAAUACAUACUCCGUGCAACUGCUGCUACUAGACAGCGACUGAACAUUAUAAUUUUUUGUCAUUACCAAAAACAGAACAGUUACUUCUCAUUGUUUUUUAUAAUACAAUCUACAAAAAACAUGUUUGAAAAACACAAAAAUUAAUAAUGAAUGGUUGUUGUGAACAUGAAAAUUACAGGUUUAUAUGAGAAUUUACAGGUUAAUAUGGGAAAUAUAAACCCUGUACUGACCAAUCAGAUUGCUGGAUUCUGGGUAGCCUCGAUUCCAGGCCGCUUGAAGAAGGCGGCCUGGUAUACCUUGUAUGCGCAUGCGUGUACAUUACCCCAAAAAGGGGGUAAUCCGUGUAUUUGUGGAUACUGUCAGUAAAAUAAACCGUAUACUAUUUGUAUUCUGAUUUUUCAGUCCGUUACAUAAAAUUAUUGUGCAAAAAUGACUGAGUUCUUACGCCCUUUAUUGUAUCAAGCCAAGUCUCUACUUAAUGACACCCUACACUGUAAGGCUACAGAUGUUAUAGGAAAGGCAUGAUGUGUUCCUGUGGGUCCCCUGAUGAGGCUGUGGUAAUAUAGACCAGGCAAGUGUUCUGCUACUAAAUCUUGCCUUUAUGUUCGACAAGAAGUCAUUGCUGAAGAUAAAGAAGCUAAUGAUUACUCCUUAAAGCUUUUAAUAAGCUUUAACUCAACACUCAGGAAGUUAUUCACUCAAGAUCUACUGAUGUAUUAAAGAGUCAACCACUCUUCAUAGCUGGCAGCUCUAGCUGUCUGGGAGGCUUUCUUAAACUGUCUCUUUGAUAAACAGAGCUAGAAGAAGCAACACUGCUGCAGCAUAAUUAUUCUACUUUGAUUAGUGUCUCUGAAAGCUGCCAUUGUGGUCACAUUGUCAUACGUAUUAUUCCCUUUUGUAACUUUGUCCGUUUUUUUACAAUUUGUAUGAUGAAA
Molecule: RNA transcript, 2166 nt
Organism: Halichondria panicea
Lineage: Eukaryota; Metazoa; Porifera; Demospongiae; Suberitida; Halichondriidae
Gene name: 116 kDa U5 small nuclear ribonucleoprotein component-like
Exons: 6
Source: RefSeq, a predicted model, not a curated record